AUUGAACGCUGGCGGCAUGGCUAAAACAUGCAAGUCGAACGUGCCCGCAAGGGCAAGUGGCGAAAGGGUCAGUAAUACGAUCGAACGUACCCCGAGGUGGGGGGAUAGGGUGGCGAAAGUCACCAUAAUACCCCAUGAUCUCUCCGGAGCAAAGGUUUACCGCCUUGGGAGCGGCGAUCGUCCUAUCAGGUAGUUGGCGGGUAAAGGCCACCAAGCCGUAGACGGGUAGCGGGUGUGAGAGCACGGCCCGCGACAUCGAAACUGAGACACUGUUCGGACUCCUACGGGAGGCUGCAGUAACGAAUCUUCCGCAAUGGGCGAAAGCCUGACGGAGCAAUGCCGCGUGUGGGGAUGAAGCGUCUCUGACGUGUAAACCACUGUCAGGGGGCGAGGAACAAUGACCGCCCCCAAACGGAAAGUGGCGGACUAACUA
RNAcentral lists this ribosomal RNA (433 nucleotides) under uncultured bacterium. RNAcentral describes it as "bacterial SSU rRNA". It matches the Rfam family "Bacterial small subunit ribosomal RNA", at positions 29 to 503 of the family's 1533-position model. The record is from RNAcentral.